Fundulus heteroclitus (mummichog) is the source of this 1066-nucleotide long non-coding RNA. RefSeq lists it as uncharacterized. NCBI's taxonomy places the organism in Eukaryota, Metazoa, Chordata, Actinopteri, Cyprinodontiformes, Fundulidae. The transcript has 3 exons. The record is from RefSeq and is a predicted model, not a curated record.
UACUACCAUACACAUACACAUACACACAAUGUAGUUAUACACACUUUAUGUAAGUUUAUACAUGCUCAUGCUGCACUACACACACAAUCGCUUGAAUUCUUGUCAAGGGGAUUUCCAAGUCUGUGCUUUUUUUUAACAUGUUUAACACCUUUUCACCUCACAUCACCACAACCUAUUUUCUUGUCCCAAACAGGCUCUAUGCACAGCUCCACUUCUUCCUGACCUCAGUGUAACCUAGGGUAUAAACUGCCUUUAAUUCCACCUUGCUGCUCCAUUGGCUAGAAUGACAAUUGGUCACAUGGUGCAUUCAGCCAAUCACUGCAUCUGGAGUGGUUAUUCAGGCCUGCUCCAGCUUUCCCAGUCAGGUGUGAGGGGGAGAGCUGGAGACAAAGGAGCUACAGAUCUGCAUACCCAGUGAGCUUGAAGCUAAGAAGUUGCCUUUCCCUGAACUAUUUAUGGAAUUGGCCAGGUGAUCCCUUUUUAGGGUUAAAAGGAUGGCGAGCUUUUCACAACUGGCUGGGCCAGGAGAACCUGAUAUUCCCUCCAUGCUGAUCUGGUAGGAGGCUGAUGGUCUGUAGCAUUUUUCCCCUUCCUUCUCAUCAUACCGACACACAAUUCAUGAUUCAUCUCUUCUCCGUUGGACACAAUUUGCGCUUGGACAUUUUUCACCUAAAAUAACUGGACAAUCAAACUAUGGACUUUUUGUGCGUCAGUCAGACAUGGUGCUGACUGGUGGGGAAAUGCAGGAGUUUUGUGGACAUUCAAGAAGAUCUACUGCAUUGUUGUAUAUAUUUAUUGUAUUUAUAUUGUUUGGGUUUAUGUAUGUUUUGUGGUGUUUAUUUUUUUCCCUUUGCUUCAAAAAUGCAUAAUAUUGAAAGCAGUUGUUCCUUUGUAUUGGUUUUUCAUUAAUCACUGACAGCAGCUCCUGCAGACGAAUUUAGACUUCUGAUGUCAUAUGCGUUCUGGUCUUUAAAUAUCUAAAUUAGUGUUACAUCAGCAGCUCCUUUAUUUCCUGUCUUUCAUUACUGGACAGACUGAUUAAUCCAGGUGUCUGACCUCAUUAACC